This 391-nucleotide ribosomal RNA is filed under the name uncultured bacterium. Its description in RNAcentral is "bacterial SSU rRNA". It matches the Rfam family "Bacterial small subunit ribosomal RNA", at positions 29 to 457 of the family's 1533-position model. The record is from RNAcentral.
AACGAACGCUGGCGGCAGGCCUAACACAUGCAAGUCGAACGAUAUAGUGGCAGACGGGUGAGUAACGCGUGGGAACGUACCUUUCGCUACGGAAUAGCUCCGGGAAACUGGUGGUAAUACCGUAUACGCCCUUAGGGGGAAAGAUUUAUCGGCGAAAGAUCGGCCCGCGUUAGAUUAGGUAGUUGGUGGGGUAAUGGCCUACCAAGCCUACGAUCUAUAGCUGGUCUGAGAGGAUGAUCAGCCACACUGGGACUGAGACACGGCCCAGACUCCUACGGGAGGCAGCAGUGGGGAAUCUUGCACAAUGGGCGAAAGCCUGAUGCAGCCAUGCCGCGUGAAUGAUGAAGGCCUUAGGGUUGUAAAGCACUUUAAGCGGGGAGAAGGCCUGACG